This 253-nucleotide ribosomal RNA is filed under the name uncultured bacterium. RNAcentral describes it as "partial 16S ribosomal RNA". It matches the Rfam family "Bacterial small subunit ribosomal RNA", at positions 524 to 776 of the family's 1533-position model. The record is from RNAcentral.
UACGUAGGGUGCAAGCGUUAAUCGGAAUUACUGGGCGUAAAGGGUGCGUAGGCCGCACGGUAAGUCAGAGGUGAAAUCCCGGAGCUCAACUCCGGAAUUGCCUCCGAUACUGCCGUGCUCGAGGACUGGAGAGGAGUCUGGAAUUCACAGUGGAGCAGUGAAAUGCGUAGAUAUUGUGAGGAACACUAGUGGCGAAGGCGAGACUCUGGACAGUUCCUGACGCUGAGGCACGAAGGCCAGGGGAGCAAACGGG